UAUUUGCACAUAUAUAUUUGUAUGUAUAUGCAUAUGUGUGUGUAUACAUAUUUGCUCCCAAAUUGCCAGUGAGAUGAGUUUCUCAGAUGGGCCCCUAUUUUUCUACUGACAUUUCCAUAUUAAAAGAGCCCUCGGAUUGUAACAUUAAUAACACAACUUAAAAUUUCUGAGGGUGCAUUUAACCCACCUAUCAGGGUAUUGCUAGAGCAUAUAAAGUAGGCAGGUUUUCGUGGAAUAACAAACAUUGGAGCCUUUCUGUCAGUGAACUGUUUACCUCACUUUUACACACCCACAGCAAUUACUUUUUCUUAGGAUUCCUGCCUCUUUACCACCCCAAUUAAAUCUGCUAGAAAGGGUGUAUGCUCCUGCGAGAUUCACAGCCCAUCAAGAGUAAAUAAUAAAGAUAUGUGGAAAAUAGCUAAGUGGAAAGAAACACUUAUUAUCUCUAUUUUUUUUAAUUGUCUCUGCAGAUGGAGAACAUCCUUGGUCUUAGGCUAAUCAUUCUCUAACCUGUUUUCUCCUUGUAUCUUCACAGUAGUUGGGUAUGCGAAGGGCUGCUUCCAUCCAAAUUUCACACAUGAGCAUACCUGGGACUCGGAGCAGUGAGCCCCUGGCUCAGUCCCCAGCCGAGAGGAGCCAGGCUGGGCUGGUUCUGCGUGGACUCCAGGCGCGUGUGAGAAAAUCCUCUGCUGAAAGAAAGGAUCGGGGUGAAAGGGGAACCUAAAAGUCACUGAAAUAAAGUGUCCAGCAUGGGGCCCGGAGCUUAUCAGUCUUUAAAUCAUUGACAUUUUUAUUAUUACAUAAAAAUACCCAAGUCAUGGGUAUUCACCAUUAUGGAUUAGAGAAGGAACAUGGUUAUUAAGUGCCUAAGAAAAAUGCAAACAUUUUCAUAAGAAGUGCAUGACGGACAGCACGUGCAAUGAUCUCUUAGUGACUGUCCCACUCACAGAUCUCACUGUCAGAGAAUUUUUAUGGGUAACGUUUAGCAACUUGUUCCCCAGACUUCUUCCCCCUGGAAUUCUAUGAAUCUUGAAAAUGAACACAUGGGGAAGUUCUGCGUUUGCUUUUGACCCUCCUGACAUCGGUUGGGUUCCAGUGACAUCAGUGGAAGGUGUGUCACUUGCUUUACCACCAGUGAGGGACAUCUGUCAAGCCUCCAACUGCCAGGGCUUCAGUUUCUUCAUGUGGGAAGGUGGGGGAGCACAGAGAGACGUUGUGGGGAAACCAGGGAAGUGAGUGUUCCCUUUGCAGCUCCCUCGCUCUGCCUGGACUCAGCAUCGUGGAGCAGGGCGCAGCAUCGCAUCAGGGCGCUUCGCCAGCCUCCAGACCUCAGCCUCCCCAGUGGCACUGCCCGUGAUCGUCUGCUGUCAGAAGCUUGAGAUCCUGAGUCCACAAAGAUGCCUGCAGCUUCUGGCCUGUGCUGCUUAGCAUGACACUUCCGCAGAAGCUCCCAUAUCUCACAUGAGGAAGUCAGGGGCCCUGCCCUCACCACAGCUGGCCAUCUAAGAAUCGGGAACUCCAAGUGGCCUGCAAUCCAUCCUCCCUCCUGGCCGCCCGACAGGAGCUCUGCAGGUCAAAUCCAGUGUGCACUGAAAGCUCUCAGGCCUGCUUCCUGGCUCACUUUCGAGUUGUUGUUCAGUACAACAGAACUGAAUCCAGGGGUUUGCAAUGGUGCCUUUGCUCACGAUGGGAUUUCACUAGUCAGUCCCACAAGUUAUCUGUGUAAAACUAUUUGUGUGUUGCUCAGUGACCGGGCAGUGGCAGAGCCCCCACAGAACAGAGUCCUUGCUUCUGUCAGGAAAGUCAUGGUGUUGGGGAGAGGUGGUGUUGAGUCAUGCUCCUCUAUGACCGAACAAAGGGAACAGUUGAGGACAUCAUUUGGCAUCAUGUUUGGGAACUAGAAAGAGAUGGAGCUAGAGGGGACUUGGGUGCAGAGGCAAGGAAUAGACUCAUAAAUGAGGGAAACCCUUGUGGCUAAUUUUAUGCUCCACAGCCUUAGAAUUUCGCAUUCCUUAUUGAAGAAUACCUUCGUGGGGUUCUGCUUUCCUAGUGAGAAUGUCACUUUCAUUUUCGACUUCAUUAUAUUCUUAUUUUGGAAAGAGUCUGUUCCAUGGUGCAGGUUUGCUGGCUCCGUCCUUAGGAAAGAUGCUCAAAUUAUGUCUGUCACAGUCAGGCGGUUCAGUAUGUAACACCGUGUUUCCUCCCAGACACCAAGUGGCAUCCAGUUGGUCCUCUGAGCCUCUCCAAAUGUGCAGGGCUCACCUUCUGUUGUGAAAGCAGAGUAAUCUCAGGAGACUGACAUCACUGGAUGUCCCCAAAGCAUAGCUGUCAAGUACGUAGAUUCAAAGUUUCACCAUUUCAUUUUAUCAAUUUUCGGAGCUUAUUGAGUUACUUGUGUGUUUCUUCUCUUCCAUGAUGCUGCGAGCUCUUCCCGCGGUGCUCUUUUAUUUGGAAGACCCCACGGCAGGCCACCCAGGAGUCAGGCGGGAAAGCCUUCCUCUAACAAACCAGUGUGAGCAGUGUCAGAAAAAUGUGACACGAAGGUGACAGGAAAGCAAGUUCUAGUUUUCCUGCUUCUCAAGGAUUGUAUCAAACAGAGUUAAAAUAAUGGAAAGUAUCUGGUCUUUCCAGAUGCUCUCUCUGUAUGUGGUAGAGAGGUGACUGGCACCGUGAGACAAUGGUACACGGGACUGGGUGUAUUGUAAAACCCUAGAAGCGUUACAUACAUAGCGGCAUUAGAGUACUAUGACCUGCAGGAGCAAAAUGGAUCAAAGCAACUUAUUGAUUGGGAUUGCGACUCAAAGUUUGAAUGGAAUAGCUAAGAAGCCACAAGGCCAAUAUAUACUCCAAUUAUUCUUUCUUGUUACCAUCAGCAUUUCCUGAUUUUUUAAAAAUUUUAAUGCUACUGAGAACAUGUAGAAAGUAGAAUCUGAGCAUGGUAAGUAAUGAUUACUAUCUGCAAGGGAGUCUUCUGAGUCAUUGAAGAAAUACCCAAAGACAGGAUUGGAUCAUCAUUAGAAAAACAUACAUGGUGGGCAUCACACACGCAGAUGCACACCAUUAAAUUUACUUCCCAAUUUUUGGCUUGAUUAAUGGAAAUUCCAAAGAGUUUUGUUUAAACGAGAUUGGGCAGGCGCAGGGUGGUAUGGCCUAGACUCAAAGAACUUGGUUUAGAUCAAAUUGUUGACUUGGGCUUCCCAGCUGAACCCCACUGUGGGUGAUACUAUGUCACUGCAUUAAUAUGCCUGUGGUUCAGCAGCUUCAGCAGAAAAGGAAUUCUAAUUCCUUGCACUUGGAAAACUGUUUGUUACUGAAAGAUUCUUCAGUCUCCCAAACCUAUCUGUCCAUGAGGAACUUUAGAAAAGAAGUCUUCUCCUCUCCACUAGCGAUUGGUUCCUCUUGUAGUUCACAAGUGCCAAAAGUUUUUUGUGUGUUUUCUUUUUCUUAGAGGUUUUUGCCAGAGAGUUCAGAACUUAUAACGUGCCCAUUUUACAUGAAAACUGUGUCUACAUUACAGCACACCCAGGUGCCAGGAUUCUGACCGAUUUCUGACUGAGAACAUUAGUUUGUCGACCACUAUUUUUUCUUGUUUUUUAGUUUGUUACACACACACAAAUGUAGGCAUGUAGUGGAACUGCUAAAAUUGACAAAGAAUUGUGAGUAGAAAAGGUAUAUUUGUGUGUUUAACUCUUGAAUCCAAUAUUUAAAAUAAGAAGAGCAAUAAUCACUAAAAGCAUCCAUGUCCCUGAUUUUGUUUUAGUGU
Long non-coding RNA from Artibeus jamaicensis (Jamaican fruit-eating bat), 3763 nucleotides. RefSeq lists it as uncharacterized. The record is from RefSeq and is a predicted model, not a curated record. The transcript has 3 exons. NCBI's taxonomy places the organism in Eukaryota, Metazoa, Chordata, Mammalia, Chiroptera, Phyllostomidae.